RNAcentral lists this ribosomal RNA (472 nucleotides) under Streptococcus iniae. Its description in RNAcentral is "bacterial SSU rRNA". It matches the Rfam family "Bacterial small subunit ribosomal RNA", at positions 21 to 475 of the family's 1533-position model. RNAcentral also lists the same sequence under 1 other name. The record is from RNAcentral. Lineage: Bacteria; Bacillati; Bacillota; Bacilli; Lactobacillales; Streptococcaceae.
GGCUCAGGACGAACGCUGGCGGCGUGCCUAAUACAUGCAAGUAGAACGCUGAGGUCUGGUGCUUGCACUAGACCAAGGAGUUGCGAACGGGUGAGUAACGCGUAGGUAACCUACCUCAUAGCGGGGGAUAACUAUUGGAAACGAUAGCUAAUACCGCAUGACAAUAGAGUACACAUGUACUUAAUUUAAAAGGGGCAACUGCUCCACUAUGAGAUGGACCUGCGUUGUAUUAGCUAGUUGGUGAGGUAACGGCUCACCAAGGCGACGAUACAUAGCCGACCUGAGAGGGUGAUCGGCCACACUGGGACUGAGACACGGCCCAGACUCCUACGGGAGGCAGCAGUAGGGAAUCUUCGGCAAUGGGGGGAACCCUGACCGAGCAACGCCGCGUGAGUGAAGAAGGUUUUCGGAUCGUAAAGCUCUGUUGUUAGAGAAGAACGGUAAUGGGAGUGGAAAAUCCAUUACGUGACGG